This 465-nucleotide ribosomal RNA is filed under the name Vreelandella stevensii. RNAcentral describes it as "partial 16S ribosomal RNA". It matches the Rfam family "Bacterial small subunit ribosomal RNA", at positions 338 to 795 of the family's 1533-position model. The record is from RNAcentral. Lineage: Bacteria; Pseudomonadati; Pseudomonadota; Gammaproteobacteria; Oceanospirillales; Halomonadaceae.
CCUACGGGUGGCAGCAGUGGGGAAUAUUGGACAAUGGGGGCAACCCUGAUCCAGCCAUGCCGCGUGUGUGAAGAAGGCCCUCGGGUUGUAAAGCACUUUCAGUGAGGAAGAACGCCUGGUGGUUAAUACCCAUCAGGAAAGACAUCACUCACAGAAGAAGCACCGGCUAACUCCGUGCCAGCAGCCGCGGUAAUACGGAGGGUGCGAGCGUUAAUCGGAAUUACUGGGCGUAAAGCGCGCGUAGGUGGCUUGAUAAGCCGGUUGUGAAAGCCCCGGGCUCAACCUGGGAACGGCAUCCGGAACUGUCAAGCUAGAGUGCAGGAGAGGAAGGUAGAAUUCCCGGUGUAGCGGUGAAAUGCGUAGAGAUCGGGAGGAAUACCCGUGGCGAAGGCGGCCUUCUGGACUGACACUGACACUGAGGUGCGAAAGCGUGGGUAGCAAACAGGAUUAGAUACCCCGGUAGUC